UACGAAGGGGGCUAGCGUUGUUCGGAAUUACUGGGAGUAAAGCGCGCGCAGGCGGCUAUCCAAGUCAGUGGUGAAAGCCCGGAGCUCAACUCCGGAACUGCCAUUGAAACUGUUUAGCUUGAGGACGAGAGAGGUGAGUGGAAUUCCCAGUGUAGAGGUGAAAUUCGUAGAUAUUGGGAAGAACACCGGUGGCGAAGGCGGCUCACUGGCUCGUAUCUGACGCUCAGGCGCGACAGCGUGGGGAGCAAACAGG
Molecule: ribosomal RNA, 253 nt
Filed under: uncultured bacterium
Lineage: Bacteria
Description: partial 16S ribosomal RNA
Rfam family: Bacterial small subunit ribosomal RNA
Source: RNAcentral